CUAAACUUUAAUAUAUGCUAUUUCUAAAAGGUACAGAUCUUUAUCUAUGAGUUUAUAUUUUAUAUUUACUUUGUAAACUAAAUAUGUAUUAUAUUUUACUUUAACAUUGUUUUCAGCAGAAUUAUGUAUCUGAUAAUGACGGGAUCGUUACAACGUCAACCAUCUUCAUUAGUGGUAAUCAAGCAACAUCUGUUAUGUAUAUUGAACGCCAUUACUUAAUAACAUCUUAUGUAUAUAUACAACUAAAGAACGUUACACACUUAUGGCGACAUCGGUUUGACUAAACUCUUUGGUACCGUCUAAAAACUGUUAAUAACAUGUUCAAACAUCUUAAUUGAAUUAUUGAGUCGUUACAUGAAUAUGCUUAUCAUACAAAAAGAAGAUGUGGUAUGAUUGCCAAUGAGAAUACUAUCCAAAAUAGACCAAAUGGCACAGAAAUUAACAACUAGAGGUCACCGCACGGCAAAGCUCAUACCGCAUAGUCAGCUAUAAAAGGCCUCGAAACGACAAAUGUAAAAUUAUUCAAACGAGAAAACUAACGGCCUAAUGUAUGUACAAAAUAAUGAACGAAAAACAAAUAUGUAACACAGCAACAAACGACAACCACUAAAUUACAGGUUCAUCACUUGGGACAGGCACAUACAGAAUGUGGCGGGGUUGAACUAGUUUUUUGGCGUCAAACCCUCUCUCUAACCUGGAACAGUGGUGUAACUGUACAACAUAAGAACAAACUAUAAGAAUCAGUUGAAAAAGGCUGAACUCAUCAGAUGGAUAAAAAUAGAAAUACAUCUAAAAAAAAACACAAAGUGGACGUGGAUCAGUACUUGUACAUCCCAACAACAAAAAGACACUUAGUAGAGAUCUAAGAGUAUUCGCAGUUACUGACAGCUAGUUCAAAGUCAAUAACAACUAAUAAAAAAAUCAUGCAUCUAAGAUUAAUGUUUCCGUUAGGUAACAUUUUCUAAGCGGUCUUCAUAAAAGGUAAUGUGUGUAUAUGGAAAGCAGAAUAAACAUGUUGAAAUUGACUAAUAUUUGUUUGUGUUAUUUUUUGUUGAAAAUAAAAUAAAAUGAAACAAUCUUUAUACAACUGCUUCUAUGAAGGAAAUAUAUUUUGGCAUAAGAUGUACAGUCGUAAAAUUAGCAAGGAACUGUCAAGAGAUCUUUUCUUGGACAGUCUGUAGAGCAGUUACCUGUCGCCUAAAAAGCAUCUACCCAAUAAAUUUUCAAGACAAUUUCAACCUAGAACAGUUUUGGACAGGUCUUACUGAGAACUGGUUGGAUAUGUUCUAUUCAACAAUUGAUUCUGACAGUUCUAAAGUAGAACAUAUCGUACAGAUCCUAUCAGUUAUGAUUAUAUAUACCAGUGUUGGUCAGCUCUAUAGUAUACUAUAGAUAUGCAAAAAAAUCAAAAAAAAAAAAGAGAGAGAGAGAGAGAGAGAGAGAGAGAGAGAGAGAGAGAGAGAGGUAAAAGGUUAAAGGGGAAAUGUUUGAUUUUAUAUUCAUGCGUUGUAUCCGUAAAUUCUUAUAUCAAACCAAUUUAUUAUUUUAUCCAGGGACAUCGAAUAACGUAGAUGAUGUAAAAGCAAUUGUAUUGGUAUCAUUGGUCGUUAAAGCAGUAGUUUUAGCUAUUACAGUGUUGACUGCUUUAUUCCUUUUACGAAGAAAAGCAGGGAAGAAGAAAUUAGAGAGAAUUUUCAAAUGGAACCAGUUGACAACCAGCUCUAUCUUUCAUCAGAUGACCCGGAUUUGGCUCAUGUACAUAACAUACGUAAUCAAAGCGUAACAACUUCUCGUGAUAACCAAACUUACCAGAUGCAAUUUCAAAAUGAAAAUAGAGCAAAUGGUCGAAGACCGCAUACUUAUAUAAACAGCGGCGUAAUCUCGUCUGUGCAUAACCGUCAAGUACCCCGUCAG
This is a long non-coding RNA of Mytilus californianus (California mussel), 1914 nucleotides long. RefSeq lists it as uncharacterized. The record is from RefSeq and is a predicted model, not a curated record. Lineage: Eukaryota; Metazoa; Mollusca; Bivalvia; Mytilida; Mytilidae. The transcript has 4 exons.